CCUACGGGAGGCAGCAGUGGGGAAUAUUGGGCAAUGGGCGCAAGCCUGACCCAGCAACGCCGCGUGAAGGAAGAAGGCUUUCGGGUUGUAAACUUCUUUUCUCAGGGACGAAUCAAGUUACGGUACCUGAGGAAUAAGCCACGGCUAACUACGUGCCAGCAGCCGCGGUAAUACGGAGGUGGCAAGCGUUAUCCGGAUUUACUGGGUGUAAGGGGCGUGUAGGCGGGAAAGUAAGUCAGAUGUGAAAACCAUGGGCUCAACCUGUGCCCUGCAUUUGAUACUGUUUUGCUUGAGUACUGGAGAGGCAGACGGAAUGCCUAGUGUAGCGGUGAAAUGCGUAGAUAUUAGGAGGAACACCAGUGGCGAAGGCGGUCUGCUGGACAGCAACUGACGCUGAGGCGCGAAAGCGUGGGGAGCAAACAGGAUUAGAUACCCGUGUAGUC
RNAcentral lists this ribosomal RNA (443 nucleotides) under uncultured bacterium. RNAcentral describes it as "partial 16S ribosomal RNA". It matches the Rfam family "Bacterial small subunit ribosomal RNA", at positions 338 to 795 of the family's 1533-position model. The record is from RNAcentral.